This is a long non-coding RNA of Oncorhynchus nerka (sockeye salmon), 963 nucleotides long. RefSeq lists it as uncharacterized. NCBI's taxonomy places the organism in Eukaryota, Metazoa, Chordata, Actinopteri, Salmoniformes, Salmonidae. The transcript is spliced from 2 exons. The record is from RefSeq and is a predicted model, not a curated record.
UAAAAUAAGUAUAGACAAAUCUAAUGACAAAAAAAGCAACUCAAAAUGCUGAUUCACAUAUUUUACUGUAUUUUUGGAAAACAUGCAAUAAAGUAUCUGAUGGAAAUCCAGAUGGUGCAAGUAUUAUACUAUCUAAGGCCUUUCUCAUUCAGUGUCAGGGCCGCUUCCCCAGUCGUUUGGCGUGUACUUUGAGAUCACUUCAUUUUUUAGAGAAGUAUGCAUUUUCUUGGUUCUCUUUGCAAAUGCCAUUAAUAUCAGAUAUAUUUUCAAUGGCAGAAUAAGUUUUUUGUUUGAGGAAUCUUGUAGUGUUAUGAUUCAAACGAACUGAGGAGCUGUUUCUGCAAGGACAGGACGUACUUCUGGACGGUGAUAGCGACUCCGACUGGGAGGCCCCGGUGCCAAGCUGCCCGCUCUACCUGUGCCCCCAGUGAUGUUCAUAUGCCACAGUUCAUUACUGCAGGCAUGACUGUGCCUCCGAGCCAAAAGGGCACAGCAUGGAGGUGUCGUUGUGUUCUGUGUCGCAUGAAAUGCACCACUUGUUCAGUUUGCCUCUGCUUUACAUCAGAAAGAGACUGCUAUGGGACAGGGCACAGGCAGCAAAAUACUGUGACGAGGAUUUCCAAGGGGUAUACUGUUUUAAAAAAUAUAUAUUUAUUUUCUAAUAUUUUUUUAAACAUUUUUUUUUGUGUGUGUGUUAUUUGCACUGCUGUAUAUAGUUAUAGGUCAUUUCACCAAUUCGGCCACUUGGGUACAUUUGGGCAACUUGUGUUGGACACCUGGGUGACUUCAUGCUAAAUGUCAUGUAGCUCACCCAUUCCUGAAGUUAUCAGUCUGAAAUUUUGCACACCUACAGUUGCCCUCUUGUGUUAUCCAUCAAAAUUAUCUCCAGCAUCCUAUCUGACUGUGUGGCUAUUCUAGUACAUGUGAAAGAUGAUACUACAACAAUAAAAAACAGAAAACGUA